Molecule: long non-coding RNA, 505 nt
Organism: Physeter macrocephalus (sperm whale)
Lineage: Eukaryota; Metazoa; Chordata; Mammalia; Artiodactyla; Physeteridae
Exons: 3
Source: RefSeq, a predicted model, not a curated record
CAUCCGAAAGUGAGCGGCCGGUGGAAACAGAGGACACGCGGGCCCUCGGCAGCCCCCGUAGCCUGCUCUGCCAGUUUGAGGCCUAAGCUGGCUGCUCUGGCCUCUCUUCUCUCCUCUCCGGGUUGCAGCGCGCGGCGCGAGGAGAGGGAUUGGAGAGGAAGCGCGCGGCCGGAGGCCCAGAGCUAGAGUCGAGCAGGCGCCGGGUCUCCAGACUCCGGCUCCCGGCCCCGGCACUGAUCCGUCCGCCCGCCCGUCCCCCGGAGUCGGAGUAGGGAGGGCAGUCCGAGCCCCUCAGGCCAGUAGGUGUCAGUCAUUUGCCUCCGGGAUGACAAGCUCCUGACGCAGCCACCGUCCAGGGUCGCCUCCCCGAGGGUGAAUGUGUGUCGCCCUCCGAUUGUUCGCAUUUGAGUAUGCAGAAGAUCAGCUCUUCCGCAACCAGAUGACCUCAGGUCAUCACCCUCGGGUCUGCAAUUUUCCAACCUGCCCAAGGGUGCCCAAGCUCGUC